Molecule: ribosomal RNA, 443 nt
Filed under: uncultured bacterium
Lineage: Bacteria
Description: partial 16S ribosomal RNA
Rfam family: Bacterial small subunit ribosomal RNA
Source: RNAcentral
CCUACGGGUGACAGCAGUGGGGAAUAUUGGACAAUGGGGGGAACCCUGAUCCAGCGACGCCGCGUGAGUGAAGAAGUAUUUCGGUAUGUAAAGCUCUAUCAGCAGGGAAGAAAGAAAUGACGGUACCUGACUAAGAAGCCCCGGCUAACUACGUGCCAGCAGCCGCGGUACUACGUAGGGGGCAAGCGUUAUCCGGAUUUACUGGGUGUAAAGGGAGCGUAGACGGCGAUGCAAGUCUGAAGUGAAAGGCGGGGGCCCAACCUCCGGACUGCUUUGGAAACUGUAUGGCUGGAGUGCAGGAGAGGUAAGUGGAAUUCCUAGUGUAGCGGUGAAAUGCGUAGAUAUUAGGAGGAACACCAGUGGCGAAGGCGGCUUACUGGACUGUAACUGACGUUGAGGCUCGAAAGCGUGGGGAGCAAACAGGAUUAGAUACCCUGGUAGUC